RNAcentral lists this ribosomal RNA (267 nucleotides) under uncultured soil bacterium. RNAcentral describes it as "partial 16S ribosomal RNA". It matches the Rfam family "Bacterial small subunit ribosomal RNA", at positions 26 to 281 of the family's 1533-position model. The record is from RNAcentral.
AGAAUCAACGCUGGCGGCGUGCCUAACACAUGCAAGUCGAGCGCGAAAGGGGGGCAACUCCCAAGUAGAGCGGCGAACGGGUGAGUAACGCGUGGGUGAUCUACCUUCGAGUGGGGAAUAACACCGGGAAACUGGUGCUAAUACCGCAUAACAUCCUUGAGUUUAAUUACUUGAGGAUCAAAGCCGGGGACCGCAAGGCCUGGCGCUUGAAGAGGAGCCCGCGUCCGAUUAGCUAGUUGGCGGGUAAUGGCCACCAAGGCUUCGAUC